RNAcentral lists this ribosomal RNA (492 nucleotides) under uncultured bacterium. RNAcentral describes it as "bacterial SSU rRNA". It matches the Rfam family "Bacterial small subunit ribosomal RNA", at positions 15 to 518 of the family's 1533-position model. The record is from RNAcentral.
GAUUCUGGCUCAGGAUGAACGCUGGCGGCGUGCUUAACACAUGCAAGUCGAACGGAGUUAUAUGAAACCUAGUGAUUAUAAACUUAGUGGCGGACGGGUGAGUAACGCGUGGGUAACCUGCCUUAUACCGGGGGACAACAGUUAGAAAUGACUGCUAAUACCGCAUAAGCGCACGGUGUCGCAUGACACAGUGUAGAAAAACUCCGGUGGUAUAAGAUGGACCCGCGUCUGAUUAGCCAGUUGGUGAGGUAACGGCCCACCAAAGCAACGAUCAGUAGCCGGCCUGAGAGGGUGAACGGCCACAUUGGGACUGAGACACGGCCCAAACUCCUACGGGAGGCAGCAGUGGGAAUAUUGGACAAUGGGGGAAACCCUGAUCCAGCCGACGCCGCGUGAGUGAAGAAGUAUUUCGGUAUGUAAAGCUCUAUCAGCAAGGAAGAUAAUGACGGUACUUGACUAAGAAGCCCCGGCUAACUACGUGCCAGCAGCUGC